Bombardia bombarda is the source of this 78-nucleotide non-coding RNA. The record is from the annotation of a GenBank genome assembly. Lineage: Eukaryota; Fungi; Ascomycota; Sordariomycetes; Sordariales; Lasiosphaeriaceae.
UCUUCCGUAGUAUAGGGGUCAGUAUAUCUGUCAAGUUCGGCAUCGCUCGGGACCCGGGUUCAAUUCCCGGCGGGAGAG